ACUCAAAUGAAUUGACGGGGGCCCGCACAAGCGGCGGAGCAUGUGGAUUAAUUCGAUGCAACGCGAAGAACCUUACCUGGGUUUGACAUGCACUAGACAGCCUCAGAGAUGGGGUUUCCCUUGUGGUUGGUGUACAGGUGGUGCAUGGCUGUCGUCAGCUCGUGUCGUGAGAUGUUGGGUUAAGUCCCGCAACGAGCGCAACCCUUGCCCUAUGUUGCCAGCGGGUUAUGCCGGGGACUCGUGGGGGACUGCCGGGGUCAACUCGGAGGAAGGUGGGGAUGACGUCAAGUCAUCAUGCCCCUUAUGCCCAGGGCUUCACACAUGCUACAAUGGCCGGUACAGAGGGCUGCGAGCUCGUGAGGGUGAGCGAAUCCCUUAAAGCCGGUCUCAGUUCGGAUCGGGGUCUGCAACUCGACCCCGUGAAGUCGGAGUCGCUAGUAAUCGCAGAUCAGCAUUGCUGCGGUGAAUACGUUCCCGGGCCUUGUACACACCGCCCGU
Molecule: ribosomal RNA, 498 nt
Filed under: uncultured bacterium
Lineage: Bacteria
Description: partial 16S ribosomal RNA
Rfam family: Bacterial small subunit ribosomal RNA
Source: RNAcentral